GAUGAACGCUGGCGGCGUGCCUAAUACAUGCAAGUCGAGCGAACGGACGAGAAGCUUGCUUCUCUGAUGUUAGCGGCGGACGGGUGAGUAACACGUGGAUAACCUACCUAUAAGACUGGGAUAACUUCGGGAAACCGGAGCUAAUACCGGAUAAUAUUUUGAACCGCAUGGUUCAAAAGUGAAAGACGGUCUUGCUGUCACUUAUAGAUGGAUCCGCGCUGCAUUAGCUAGUUGGUAAGGUAACGGCUUACCAAGGCAACGAUGCAUAGCCGACCUGAGAGGGUGAUCGGCCACACUGGAACUGAGGCACGGUCCAGACUCCUACGGGGGGCAGCAGUAGGGAAUCUUCCGCAAUGGGCGAAAGCCUGACGGAGCAACGCCGCGUGAGUGAUGAAGGUCUUCGGAUCGUAAAACUCUGUUAUUGGGGAAGAACAUAUGUGUAAGUAACUGUGCACAUCUUGACGGUACCUAAUCAGAAAGCCACGGCUAACUACGUG
RNAcentral lists this ribosomal RNA (497 nucleotides) under uncultured bacterium. RNAcentral describes it as "partial 16S ribosomal RNA". It matches the Rfam family "Bacterial small subunit ribosomal RNA", at positions 28 to 507 of the family's 1533-position model. The record is from RNAcentral.